Molecule: long non-coding RNA, 378 nt
Filed under: Homo sapiens (human)
Lineage: Eukaryota; Metazoa; Chordata; Mammalia; Primates; Hominidae
Description: non-protein coding lnc-RPIA-3:4
Source: RNAcentral
UGGAAAUGCAGAGCAGAGCCACAUAUGGCCAUGUCACUCAGGCUCACGGCAGAAGAGACUUCCCUUGUCUUAGAUGAGACUUCAGACUUGGACUUUUGGGUUAAUGCUAGAAUAAGUUAAACUUUGGGAGACUGUUGGGAAGGCAUGAUUGAGUUUUUAAAUGUGAGAAGGCCAUGAGAUUUGGGAGGGGCUGGGGGUGUAAUGAUAUGGUUUGGCUCUUUUUCCCCACCCAAAUCUCUUCUCUAAUUGUAAUCCACAUGUAUCAAGGGAGGGACCUGGUGGGAGGUGAUUGAAUCAUGAGGCAGUUUCCCCUAUACUGUUCUCAUGAUAGUGAAUGAGUUCUUAUGGGAUCUGAUUGUUUAAAAAUAUAGCACUUUC